Long non-coding RNA from Strongylocentrotus purpuratus (purple sea urchin), 951 nucleotides. RefSeq lists it as uncharacterized. The record is from RefSeq and is a predicted model, not a curated record. The transcript has 3 exons. NCBI's taxonomy places the organism in Eukaryota, Metazoa, Echinodermata, Echinoidea, Camarodonta, Strongylocentrotidae.
UAAAGGUAUAGUUGAGUAUUGGUAAUUUCCAAAGUGCCCCUCCAAAACAAAUUUGGUUUAUUUCAGUACCAUAUGAAAGAUCAUCGAAAAAAACAUGGGAGAUGAUAAUAAUUCCAAAUCAAAUGCUCUAAUUGUUGUGCAAUUUGCUUUCAAAACAUUAUAUAAAAGUGUUUGACGUCCGGACAUCACUUUUGACUUUCGACGGUUUAUUUUUUGAAUUUACGUGUUUAGCUCCCUCUAUGUCAUUUAACAACCAGCGUAUUUACAACGAGUGUUUGAGUUCGUUGGUACGUACAGUACUACAGGUAGCUAGCAGGCGGGUAUCCGACCGCGCGCUAGUAAUACAGUACAGCUGAUCAAUUCCAAUACGCUGCUUUCACGUAAAGUAUAACACACACAGCUCAUAUCAGAUUAUCACCGGCGCCGAUCGAACGCUAAAUAGACAGCUACAGUCCAGACAAGCUUUGAUUGAAAUACGAUAACGAGAUCGAGAUUGGAAAAGGAGCUCGAUGUCACGGACGAUGGCCGACUCGGACUCAGCUAGUGCUAAGCCUAAGGACAAGGCUAAGGCUACGCUAAAUCGGAAUAAGACUAAGUAAGACGGUAAGAGGAAGGAGAGAAACAAGCAAUGGCAGCUCGACCAUCCGGCCCAGAGGAGGCGCGGGAGUGGCUGUGAACAAGGCCAGGGUACGGCGGAGAAACUUCGCGAGCUGCAGGCGGCCUUCUCGUUGCCGAGUCUAGAGGAUGCAAUAGACAUGCCAGCUCACUGAGAGAUAUGAAGAACAGACAACACAAUCCAUCCCCAGCGAAGAAAUUCCAAGCAGCAGUAGGGGAAUUAGCAGGUGAAUAGUACAAGUCACCUUUGACCGCAAAUUCAUGGAGAACUUAAUUGGCCUACUCUGCUGAUUUGCUCGCUUCAGGCACACCAGCAUGCUCGAGUGUUUCCACAAC